This 376-nucleotide ribosomal RNA is filed under the name uncultured organism. Its description in RNAcentral is "bacterial SSU rRNA". It matches the Rfam family "Archaeal small subunit ribosomal RNA", at positions 476 to 851 of the family's 1478-position model. The record is from RNAcentral.
CCAGCACCCCGAGUGGUCGGGACGAUUAUUGGGCCUAAAGCAUCCGUAGCCGGUUUUACAAGUCCUCCGUUAAAUCCAACUGCUUAACAGAUGGGCCGCGGAGGAUACUAUAAGACUAGGAGGCAGGAGAGGCAAGCGGUACUCAGUGGGUAGGGGUAAAAUCCGUUGAUCCAUUGAAGACCACCAGUGGCGAAGGCGGCUUGCCAGAAUGCGCUCGACGGUGAGGGAUGAAAGCUGGGGGAGCAAACCGGAUUAGAUACCCGGGUAGUCCCAGCUGUAAACGAUGCAGACUCGGUGAUGGACCAGCUUCAUGCUAGUCCAGUGCCGCAGGGAAGCCGUUAAGUCUGCCGCCUGGGGUAGUACGGUCGCAAGACUG